CCUACGGGUGGCUGCAGUGGGGAAUAUUGCACAAUGGGCGCAAGCCUGAUGCAGCCAUGCCGCGUGUGUGAAGAAAGCCUUCGGGUUGUAAAGCACUUUCAGCGGGGAGGAAGGCGGUGAGGUUAAUAACCUCAUCGAUUGACGUUACCCGCAGAAGAAGCACCGGCUAACUCCGUGCCAGCAGCCGCGGUAAUACGGAGGGUGCAAGCGUUAAUCGGAAUUACUGGGCGUAAAGCGCACGCAGGCGGUCUGUCAAGUCGGAUGUGAAAUCCCCGGGCUCAACCUGGGAACUGCAUUCGAAACUGGCAGGCUAGAGUCUUGUAGAGGGGGGUAGAAUUCCAGGUGUAGCGGUGAAAUGCGUAGAGAUCUGGAGGAAUACCGGUGGCGAAGGCGGCCCCCUGGACAAAGACUGACGCUCAGGUGCGAAAGCGUGGGGAGCAAACAGGAUUAGAUACCCCUGUAGUC
RNAcentral lists this ribosomal RNA (465 nucleotides) under uncultured Klebsiella sp. Its description in RNAcentral is "bacterial SSU rRNA". It matches the Rfam family "Bacterial small subunit ribosomal RNA", at positions 338 to 795 of the family's 1533-position model. Lineage: Bacteria; Pseudomonadati; Pseudomonadota; Gammaproteobacteria; Enterobacterales; Enterobacteriaceae. The record is from RNAcentral.